CAGUAGCCGCGGUAAUACAGAGGAUUUAAGCGUUAUCCGGAAUGAUUGGGCGUAAAGCGUCUGUAGGUGGCUUUGCAAGACAGAUGUGAAAUCCCCGGGCUCAACCUGGGAACUGCAUUUGUGACUGCAAGGCUAGAGUGCGGCAGAGGGAGAUGGAAUUCCGCGUGUAGCAGUGAAAUGCGUAGAUAUGCGGAGGAACACCGAUGGCGAAGGCAAUCUCCUGGGCCUGCACUGACGCUCAUGCACGAAAGCGUGGGGAGCAAACAGGAUUAGAGACCCCUGUAGUCCCUGUCUCUUAUAC
This 301-nucleotide ribosomal RNA is filed under the name uncultured bacterium. RNAcentral's name for it is "partial 16S ribosomal RNA". It matches the Rfam family "Bacterial small subunit ribosomal RNA", at positions 509 to 807 of the family's 1533-position model. The record is from RNAcentral.